GCUUGCAUCAUGAUUUACAUUUGAGUGAGUGGCGAACUGGUGAGUAACACGUGGGAAACCUGCCCAGAAGCGGGGGAUAACACCUGGAAACAGAUGCUAAUACCGCAUAACAACUUGGACCGCAUGGUCCGAGUUGAAAGAUGGCUUCGGCUAUCACUUUUGGAUGGUCCCGCGGCGUAUUAGCUAGAUGGUGGGUAACGGCUCACCAUGGCAAUGAUACGUAGCCGACCUGAGAGGGUAAUCGGCCACAUUGGGACUGAGACACGGCCCAAACUCCUACGGGAGGCAGCAGUAGGGAAUCUUCCACAAUGGACGAAAGUCUGAUGGAGCAACGCCGCGUGAGUGAAGAAGGGUUUCGGCUCGUAAAACUCUGUUGUUAAAGAAGAACAUAUCUGAGAGUAACUGUUCAGGUAUUGACGGUAUUUAACCAGAAAGCCACGGCUAACUACGUGCCAGCAGCCGCGGUAAUACGUAGGUGGCAAGCGUUGUCCGGAUUUAUUGGGCGUAAAGCGAGCGCAGGCGGUUUUUUAAGUCUGAUGUGAACGCCUU
This 549-nucleotide ribosomal RNA is filed under the name Lactiplantibacillus plantarum. Its description in RNAcentral is "bacterial SSU rRNA". It matches the Rfam family "Bacterial small subunit ribosomal RNA", at positions 66 to 604 of the family's 1533-position model. The record is from RNAcentral. Lineage: Bacteria; Bacillati; Bacillota; Bacilli; Lactobacillales; Lactobacillaceae.